GACGAACGCUGGCGGCGUGCCUAAUACAUGCAAGUAGAACGCUGAAGCUUGGUGCUUGCACCGAGCGGAUGAGUUGCGAACGGGUGAGUAACGCGUAGGUAACCUGCCUGGUAGCGGGGGAUAACUAUUGGAAACGAUAGCUAAUACCGCAUAAGAGUAGAUGUUGCAUGACAUUUGCUUAAAAGGUGCAAUUGCAUCACUACCAGAUGGACCUGCGUUGUAUUAGCUAGUUGGUGAGGUAACGGCUCACCAAGGCAACGAUACAUAGCCGACCUGAGAGGGUGAUCGGCCACACUGGGACUGGGACACGGCCCAGACUCCUACGGGAGGCAGCAGUAGGGAAUCUUCGGCAAUGGACGGAAGUCUGACCGAGCAACGCCGCGUGAGUGAAGAAGGUUUUCGGAUCGUAAAGCUCUGUUGUAAGAGAAGAACGAGUGUGAGAGUGGAAAGUUCACACUGUGACGGUAUCUGACCAGAAAGGGACGGCUAACUACGUG
This 497-nucleotide ribosomal RNA is filed under the name uncultured bacterium. RNAcentral describes it as "partial 16S ribosomal RNA". It matches the Rfam family "Bacterial small subunit ribosomal RNA", at positions 28 to 507 of the family's 1533-position model. The record is from RNAcentral.